This 2807-nucleotide ribosomal RNA is filed under the name Bifidobacterium ramosum. RNAcentral describes it as "23S ribosomal RNA". It matches the Rfam family "Bacterial large subunit ribosomal RNA". The record is from RNAcentral. Lineage: Bacteria; Bacillati; Actinomycetota; Actinomycetes; Bifidobacteriales; Bifidobacteriaceae.
GUUGCUUGCAAGGGCGUAUGGUGGAUGCCUUGGCAGACAGGACCGAUGAAGGACGUUGCAGGCUGCGAUAAGCCUCGGGGAGCCGCCAAGCGGGCUUUGAUCCGAGGGUGUCCGAAUGGGGAAACCCACCGGCCGUCAUGGGCCGGUACCGCACUUGUGCGGGGGGUACGCAGGGAAGUGAAACAUCUCAGUACCUGCAGGAAAGGAUACUCCGUGAGUAGUGGCGAGCGAAAGCGGAUGAGGCCAAACCUUGAGCGUGUGAUACCCGUCGGGGGUUGCGCUCGGGGUGUUGUGGGAUGCGUGUCCCGUCGCCGACGCGGCGGGCGGAAGUGACAAAGCUCUGGUUGAGGCGAACCGGAUUGAAGGCCGGGCCGCAGCGGGUGCCAGCCCCUUAGCCGAAGGACCAGGGCCUUCCGAUCGUUGUUCCCAAGUAGCGCGGGCCUCGUGGAAUCCCGCGUGAAUCUGCCCGGACCGUCGGGUAAGCCUAAGUAUUCCUGUCUGACCGAUAGCGUACUAGUACCGUGAGGGAAAGGUGAAAAGCACCCCGGGAGGGGAGUGAAAGAGUUCCUGAAACCGUGCGCCUACGAUCCGUCGGAGCCUUUCGGGGUGACGGCGUGCCUAUCGAAAAAUGAGUCUGCGAGUCAGUGGCAUGUGGCGAGCGUAACCCGUGUGGGGUACGCGUAGCGAAGGCGAGUCUUAAAAGGCGUUGAGUCGCGUGUCCUGGACCCGAAGCGGGAUGAUCUAGCCCUGAGCAGGUUGAAGCGCGGGUAAGACCGCGUGGAGGACCGGACCCACCUGGGUUGAAAACCGGGGGGAUGACUUGGGGUUAGGGGUGAAAGGCCAAUCAAAUUCCGUGAUAGCUGGUUCUCUCCGAAAUGCAUUUAGGUGCAGCGUCGGUUGAUUACAUCCGGGGGGUAGAGCUACUGGAUGCUUGCGGGCCCGUAUCGGGUACCAACAGCAGCCAAACUCCGAAUACCCGUGGUGCGUAUUCCGGCAGUGAGUCGGCGGGGGAUAAGCUCCGUCGUCGAAAGGGAAACAGCCCAGAUCGUCGUCUAAGGUCCCCAAGCGCGUGCUAAGUGGGAAAGGAUGUGGAGUCGCAUAGACAGCCAGGAGGUUGGCUCAGAAGCAGCCAUCCUUGAAAGAGUGCGUAACAGCUCACUGGUCUAGUGGUUCCGCGCCGACAAUGUAGCGGGGCUCAAGCACGCCACCGAAGACGCGGCAGUACGUUUUGUGCUGGGUAGGAGAGCGUCCCGUGCGGGGCGAAGCGGGCGUGUAAACGUCCGUGGACUGCAGGGGAGUGAGAAUGCAGACAUGAGUAGCGAGAGGCGGGUGCGAAUCCCGCCCGCUGGAUGACCAAGGGUUCCGGGGCCACGUUCGUCGUCCCCGGGUGAGUCGGGUCCUAAGGCGAGGCCGACAGGCGUAGUCGAAUGGAUGAACGGGUUGAUAUUCCCGUACCGGCAUCGAACCGACAAAACCGAGCCGAUGAGUACUAACCUCCGGUUCGUGGUGAUCCUUCCUUCGGGUUGGUGAUCCGCGUGCUGUUGGGAGCGUAGUCGUAGUAGGUCAGCGCAGGAGUGACACGGACGGGUAGCCGGCCGCGGAGGUGGUUUUCCGUGGUCAAGCGUGCGGCCCGCUCCCCAGGCAAAUCCGGGGGGCGUGAGGGCGAGGCGCGAUGAUGGGGCCUUANNNNNNNNNNNNNNNNNNNNNNNNNNNNNNNNNNNNNNNNNNNNNNNNNNNNNNNNNNNNNNNNNNNNNNNNNNNNNNNNNNNNNNNNNNNNNNUGUGGUGAAGCGGUGAAUUCAAGCCCCGGUAAACGGCGGUGGUAACUAUAACCAUCCUAAGGUAGCGAAAUUCCUUGUCGGGUAAGUUCCGACCUGCACGAAUGGCGUAACGACUUCCCCACUGUCUCGACCAGGAGCUCGGCGAAAUUGCAGUACGAGUAAAGAUGCUCGUUAAGCGCAGAAGGACGAAAAGACCCCGGGACCUUUACUAUACCUUGGUAUUGGCGUUAGGCGCGGAUUGUGUAGCAUAGGCGGGAGACUUCGAAGCCCAGGCGCCAGCUUGGGUGGAGUCGCAAGGUGAAAUACCGCUCUGUUCUCGUUUGACGUCUAACCACGAGCAGUCAUCCUGCUCUGGGACAGUGCCUGGCGGGUAGUUUAACUGGGGCGGUUGCCUCCCAAAGAGUAACGGAGGCGCUCAAAGGUCCGCUCAGCCCGGUUGGCAAUCGGGUGUCGAGUGCAAUCGCACAAGCGGGCUUGACUGUGAGAACGACGGUUCGAGCAGGGACGAAAGUCGGAGAUAGUGAUCCGGUGCCGGCGCACGGGCGCGGCAUCGCUCAACGGAUAAAAGGUACCCCGGGGAUAACAGGCUGAUCAUUCCCAAGAGUCCAUAUCGACGGGAUGGUUUGGCACCUCGAUGUCGGCUCGUCGCAUCCUGGGGCUGGAGCAGGUCCCAAGGGUUCGGCUGUUCGCCGAUUAAAGCGGCACGCGAGCUGGGUUCAGAACGUCGUGAGACAGUUUGGUCUCUAUCCUCUGCGCUCGUUGGAAUCUUGAGGAGGCCUGCCCAUAGUACGAGAGGACCUGGGUGGACGAACCUCUGGUAUGCCGGUCGUCACGCCAGUGGCGUGGCCGGUUGGCUACGUUCGGAAGGGAUAACCGCUGAAAGCAUCUAAGCGGGAAGCCCGCUCCAAGAUAAGGAUUCCGUGGAGGCUUGACCUCCUGUACCCCCCAUGCAGAACACGUGGUUGAUAGGCCGGACGUGGAAGCCGCGCAAGCGGUGGAGCCGACCGGUACUAACGGGGGAGAGGCA